UAAUCAGGAGGGACUGAUUGAGGGCAGGUGUGACUGAAGGUGCAACUACUUAAACCCAGCAGGCAAGCUCUACUAUGAGCAUUGAUUCCCUGGCCUGCUGGGACAGCACUGGCUGCCGUUUGUUUUAGUUGAUUUUACAUGUGCUGCGGCUGGAGCGUCCUUCUCUCACUGGUGUCUGGGGCUGGGAGUUCACUUAGACGGUGAUUUGGUCUGUGGUGCACGCAGUUUAUAGCAUGGUGUUUUUGUUUGGAAGUAAUUGGAUUUAUGUUUUGUUUGUAGUAUAACCCCAGUCCUGCCGCGGUG
Melanotaenia boesemani (Boeseman's rainbowfish) is the source of this 303-nucleotide long non-coding RNA. RefSeq lists it as uncharacterized. NCBI's taxonomy places the organism in Eukaryota, Metazoa, Chordata, Actinopteri, Atheriniformes, Melanotaeniidae. The record is from RefSeq and is a predicted model, not a curated record. The transcript has 3 exons.